CAGUAGGGUGCCAUCAAGAGGUGUAUUUGGAAAUAUCCCUAAUACAGGAUCACUUGGAUCCGUCGGCGAUGACGAGCGCGAGAGAAUGCGAAAAGUCCUCACGGAAUGCUCUAAUUAUGAGAUAAUCUCAUGGAUACUCCCUGGACUUAAGC
Molecule: ribosomal RNA, 152 nt
Filed under: Enterocytozoon bieneusi
Lineage: Eukaryota; Fungi; Microsporidia; Enterocytozoonidae
Description: partial large subunit ribosomal RNA
Source: RNAcentral